UUUUUUCUACAUUGGCUAGAGGUAUAGGGGAGGGUUGAGAUCUCAUGAACAUGUUUAACCCCGCCGCAAUUUUGCGCCUGUCUCAAGUCAGGAGCCUUUGCAUGGCCUUUGUUAGUCUUGUAUGAUUUUUUAAUGUUAGUUUCUUGUGUAUAAUUCGGAGUUUAGUAUGACGUCCAUUAUCACUGAACUAGUAUACAUAUUUGUUUAGGGGCCAGCUGACGGACGCCUCCGGGUGCGGGAGUUUCUCGCUACAUUGAAGACCCAUUGGUG
This 270-nucleotide long non-coding RNA is filed under the name Mytilus galloprovincialis (Mediterranean mussel). Lineage: Eukaryota; Metazoa; Mollusca; Bivalvia; Mytilida; Mytilidae. The record is from RNAcentral.